Long non-coding RNA from Leptonychotes weddellii (Weddell seal), 2093 nucleotides. RefSeq lists it as uncharacterized. NCBI's taxonomy places the organism in Eukaryota, Metazoa, Chordata, Mammalia, Carnivora, Phocidae. The record is from RefSeq and is a predicted model, not a curated record.
CCCGUUGUGCUUUCGGUUUCGAGGGGCGCGGGCGCGGGAAACAAACACACUCGUAAACUUCGGGAUUCCUCCGGCACGUUUUGGAGGCGCGCGGGAAUGGGGGCGCAGGGACGGAGCCCCGAGGGUGGGCUUUGGUUGGUUUUAUUCUGAAUAGAAUAAACUUCAAGGAAUUAGUGGCACGGGCAGCAGCACCGCUUUUCUUCCUCACAACUCACACAGGAAGGAAGUUUGUAGAAAUUCGUGUCUGUACCGCGCCACGCCACAUGCAGGGAGUGUGGUACAAGUGGCCCUCCCGCUGGCUGCGGGCACCACACCUGCUGGCUGCACGGCCUCAGGGGCAGCGAGGGCCUUGUUCCCACGACCCACUUGCGCACUUGGAAGUUUGGGUUCUCUUCAUGGUUCUGCAAUGCUCUCCCUCCAUUCUGUGCACAGGAGAUUCCGUUUGUCCUGUCACCUCCUUUCCCAGGACUGCCACUGCGUUCCCCACCACCCGGGACCUCGAACCUACCACAGAGCCAAGGCUCAGGUGUUCCGCAGUCGGGGAGCCGGGGGCCUGAGCGCAAUCCGGCGGCCACGCCCUGGUUCCUACAGCGUAGGCGGCUGCCUUUGACCAAGAACUUCUAUCAUCCGGGAGACUUCACAGUUUCACCUUACUGUGUGGGACCUCACCGACUGGCUCGUCACCCGCUGGGUCACAUGAAACGAACAGUCAUUUCAUGAGCAGCCCUUUGAGAGGCCCAUGUGGUGAAGAGCACCCAGCAAGGAACCGAGGUCCCGGAUGAGCAAACUUGGUAAUGGAUCCUCCUGCCCAGUCGAACCUUCUGAUAACUGUAGCCAACAUCUUGACUACAACCUUAUAAGAGACCCUGAACCGGAACCACCAGCCAAGCUCUGAUUUCCUGACCCUCAGAAACUAUAGAAGGUGGGGGAGGGACAGAGGAAGAAGGAGAGAGAAUCUCAAGCAGACUCAAGCUGAGCUCCGAGGCUGAUGCUGGUGAUCCCACGACCCUGAGAUCAUGACAUGAGCCGAAAUCAAGAAUCUGACAUUCAACCCACUGGGCCACCCAGGUGCCUCCAAUAUUUGUUACUUUUUGAACAGCCAUUCCUGUUUUGAUUUCAGGCAAGGUAGCUGCCUCUCCCUGUCCCAGGGGACAAAUUAUUAUUGGUCUAAGGUGAUUAUCAUGUCAUCCAUUAUGCCAAUAAUGAGUUUGGGCAGGAAUAAGUGAUCCAGUUCUGGCCAAUGAGAGAUAAGGAAAGUUGGGUGGGGGUUCUGAAAAAGAUGUUCGUUCUGGAUAAAAAAACAAAGCCUAGGGAAGUGAAAAGCUUGUACUAUUCCUUCCUUUUUUCUCCUUGCCUUCAGUGAGAUGGUGUGAAGGUGAAAUUAUUGGAGCUGUGUUAGCCAUCCUGUGACCAUGAGGGGACAAGCCUAGGGAUAAUCAGCUAAUGCCCAAAGGUGUCAGAAGGGUAAAUUAGAGAGAGACCUUGCCCUUAAAGACCUUAGUGAGCCACGGCCAACCAGAAACCACACACCUCCAAUCUGCUUCUUAUUCAAGCAAAUGAACAUGUCUUUAAAUAGAAGCCAGUGGCUCUCGGAGUGACAGGAACACCUGGGAAUUUGUUGGAAAUGCAAAUUCUCGAGCCUCACCCCAACUUCUUGAAUGCACACUUGGGUUGGGUGAUCUGAGGCAGAACCAGGUUUUAGAGUCUCCGUUAUCACAGUAGGGUUUCUGCCAAAGCAUUCCUGACCCAAAGCAUUCCCGAGGGCCCCUACAGUACAUGUGGAAUGCAUGAAGGGCUCCACAGUAUUCCUGCAAAGGCGCUUCCUCAAUGGAUUCCCCACCUUUGGCUUGAUUUCUUAACACUUACCUCUUUCUCUUGGGUAUACUUGUUGUCUUCUUGUAUUUAAAGAGGCAUAUCAAUUGUUGUGUGGAACCCUGAAACUGCCUCCUCCUAAGGUGUGCCUUGUCCUGAAGAGAAUCUUUACUUUGACUUUACCAGAAGUCUUUCACUUCCUAGCAUCAUUCUAACACCCUUUUAUUUCAACAUCACUUGAAUGCUUCAAAGUCCAGGUUACUUUUAAACCCAUUUUUUUC